AGCUUUGCGCAGUGGCAGUAUCGUAGCCAAUGAGGUUUAUCCGAGGCGCGAUUAUUGCUAAUUAAACCUAUGAUUCAGUAUAAUGUCUUAUCUUAUGAUGGCCUUAUCUGGAAACAAAGAACUUAGGAAUAUUGAGAACAAU
Molecule: non-coding RNA, 142 nt
Organism: Mustela putorius furo (domestic ferret)
Lineage: Eukaryota; Metazoa; Chordata; Mammalia; Carnivora; Mustelidae
Source: Rfam